Zea mays is the source of this 1084-nucleotide long non-coding RNA. RefSeq lists it as uncharacterized. The transcript is spliced from 2 exons. Lineage: Eukaryota; Viridiplantae; Streptophyta; Magnoliopsida; Poales; Poaceae. The record is from RefSeq and is a predicted model, not a curated record.
UCCGUCCUCCUCGACGGGAUCGUGGGCACUGUAAUCGAAUCCCUCCUCUCUCUCCUCGGCCUCGUCCCAUGUAAAAAAAGCAAGGACGACGCCCCGGGGUCAUCCCUCAUUUACGCCUGCACGCACAUCGAGGUAGCCUGGCCUGCACCGAGAGUUUGGGGGAGGAGAUUUGCCGUUGACGGGCACGCAGUCGUGGUCGCCCUGGCCUCGCCACGGUGUUCUAGUGCGGUGGCGCUGUGCCUUGGCGCUCCGACUGCCUUCGUGGUGUAGUUCGUGGACGGGAACCGAAUGGCGCUGGGGCAAUUGCUCGCCAGACAUGGUGUACCGCCGUGGUGUAGUUCGGCGACGGGAACCGAACCCACCUCACCCAAAUCACCGGGGAGUGGCCAUGGAAUUCAUGAUAUUGAUUGGGAUACAAUAAUGGUAGAAGAAACCAACAACGAAGAAGGAAGAAAUGGUGUUACUAGUGAACAAGGUCUAUAUUAUCAGCUUGGACUGGAUACUCAAGAUGAUAGAAGGGAAGAUGAUUCAAGUGCUUCCCGUUUUGGAAAUAGCAUUCCAUGUGAAGAAGAAUUGGGAGCAGGCAUUUCGUGUUCUGAUGCAGUGCUCGAUGAGACUAGGACCAUAUAUGAUAUGAACAAUCCAGUAAUGGAGCUUGGCAGCUUGUAUGCAACAAUGCACCACUUCAGACACGCAAUUAGACAAUAUACGCCAUAAAUAAAGAAUUUGAGCUUGGAAUUGAGGCAACCAAUAAGACUAGAUUUAUAGGGUAUUAUAAAGGGCCUGAUUGCCCUUGGAGCAUUCAUGCUAGACCGGAGAAUGAAGCUGUCCUUGCAAUUAUACCAGCUAAUGAAGAUCUUGUUGAAAGACCUUCGUCGCCACCAGAAGAACGUGUAGUUCGUGUCCUAGUUAAAAAGAUCACACCUAGGAAGAAGAAUGUUUGAGUACUAUGGUCAAGUACAUUGUUCUUAUGGUACUUUGUAUGGUACUAUGGUCAAGUAAUGUUUGAGUACUUGAGUCAUCACAGGCAGGUGACAUUUGUAUGGUACUUUGUCCUCUGUAUGAAACUAUGGUAUUUCUGUGA